AGUCUUCACCUACAGCUAUGAGUUUACCUAAAAUCAAUUACACUCGACAGUAUUUAUUAUUAUUAUUUUCAUUUUCUGUUUCAUGAGUUUUUUAAAAACUAAUUCUUUACAUACAAUCGCUGAUUUCAAAUAUGCCAUCAUUUUUUCCCCUGCAUGUUUUUUUUCAUGCAAUCAGCGUUUUUGAUACUAUUAUAGUUGCAAUUAGGCCUGCACAAUAUAUCGCAAUGUGCGCAUGCGCAAUAGUCCCAUCGCAGGAUGUGCAAUUUUUAUCAGUCUUCAUCAUUCACAGAUAAACCCCCUUAGCCUGGAUUAAACCAUAUUAUAUGAAUACUAGGAAUGUCCCGAUCGCAUAUUUUUGCACUCAAGUCCGAGUCCAAGUCACCUGAUUUUGAGAAUCUGCCAAUACAGAGUAUCAGAGAAAAUCUGAUACGGAAAAAAAAGUAUUUUUUUUUUUUUUCCACUUUGAUGCUCACGCUGCCGAGAACAGCCUUUUCCUUUCACAAUGAAUGAGUUACCACAGCACACUUCAGACUUUGUACCAAGCUUAAAGGGGAACUGAAGAGGUUUUCAGAUUUCGCUCUUAAGUGUUUUACUCAGUUGAAUUGUAUUCAAUGCGUCAUUCGCUCUCUCAAAAAGUCACAUAAAAAAAAAAAAUAAUAAUUGACCGCGUAGUUUUUGAGUUAUGGCCAUAGCAACACCGUAGCAACGAGGGACGCGCCGUCCUGCCGACCCCUACCUCGUGACGUAACUUCCAGGAAGCCUCGCCACCACUCUGAACACGGAAAUAUAGCACCACGCUAUCCUCGCUAUAUAUUGCAAACAUUUUCUUGGUUUUACUCGCGGGAUUCGUCAUGCCAUCUCGAUGUGUAGCGAUAUGAAUUACUCACAGGAAGACUCGAGACUCUAGGAGUGGUCCAAAAAAAAAACUUCUCCUGCAAAGCCACGACAGCUUUGAAAACCUACAGCAAUGCAACCUUGGUUUUCCAAAGACGAAGCCAAACAUAAAAAAAUUAAGUGGCGGAAACCCUCAACACGAUGAAAAAAGCGUUGCAAGUCAGUUGCCACCCAGUUUCCCAAAAUCAAGAGAGAGUGGGUCGAGUCAUAUGAUGACCCAAGUGAUGCGGUGUCCAGCGAUGACGACUGAAGAGAUCCUAUGAGGCCUGCCAGAUGCUGAAUUUCUUCCGUCUGCGACAUCAGAUGACGAUGAUUUAUGUAUAGAGAACACUUCAUGCUACAGAAAAGAGUAAAUACAUAUUUCCCACUGCCAUUAUCAUUUUUCAAUGUUGCGCUAGUCCGUUGCUAUCCAAACUUUGUGUUGCUUACUAAAAUUAUGCUCUUUGAUGUGUGCCGUUGUGUGCUUGGUAUAACAUGUUGUGUCACAAUCUGACAACGAAAGCUCAUGCUGAUUCAACAUAAACCUGGUAUCAUUUAUUAUUGCGGGCUAUUGAAUAUUUUUUCAGAAUGUAAUAUAAUUACAAUAUAUUAUAUACCAAUAGAAUACAUUAAACAGUCAACAAAAUGUGUCAAUGUUGUUAACAAUUUAUGGUUUUAUUUUUUUAAUGAAAUUCAUGCCCCUGUCAGUGCUUCAGCCUCCGCAAGUUUGGCUCUCACGUCUGGGAUCUCCUGAUGACACAGGCAUACUCUUGGAAGGGUAAUUACUUGACGGUUUACAGCAACACCUGGAAAAUAAAAUGGUUUUGUCAUUUAUUUUGAAAUAUCAAUAACAUAUCAUUCAUUUAGCCACAUUUGGGCUAGCAUUAUCAUAUUUAGAUUGGUAGGCGCUGUCCCAUUACCUAAAAUCCAGUUUUAGCUAUGUGUAGAGCAUUCAUUUAGCCACAUUUGGGCUAGCUUGAUCAUAUUUAGAUCGGUAGGAGCGGUCCCAUUACCUAAUAUCCAGUUUUAGCUACGUGUAGAGCAUUGAUUUAGCCACAUUUGGGCUAGCUUGAUCAUAUUUGGAGGGUCUUAAGGAUAGGGGAUACCCAGGACUUGAAUUGCAUCUAUUCAUCUUUGUUGCAUCUAUUCAUCUUUGUUGCUUCAUUUCUAAUUUCAUAUUG
Corythoichthys intestinalis (scribbled pipefish) is the source of this 2054-nucleotide long non-coding RNA. RefSeq lists it as uncharacterized. The transcript has 3 exons. The record is from RefSeq and is a predicted model, not a curated record. NCBI's taxonomy places the organism in Eukaryota, Metazoa, Chordata, Actinopteri, Syngnathiformes, Syngnathidae.